AUUUUCUAACAUGACAUCGAUUCUAUGUACACAUAGAUAUGGAUAACAUGAUUUCUAUUCUGACAAUGCUUAUACUCAAGUUGAAAAGGAAAUCCUCUCACUUUUUUGGUCCUUUGAGUUUUAUAAAGAAAGGAAAAGGUGAAGAAAAUGAUAAAAAGAAGAGUGUGAGUGAGAAGCAGAGCAUUGAUGUGUCAGCCAGGGUGCCACCCUGGCACAGCCAGCCCGUGUUCUGCCUUGCUGGGCCUGCCUGACAGGAGCCCCUCUCAACCUGGACUCAACAUUCAGAAGAGAGCAUCCCUAUUUGAAGCUUCAGAGUGAAUGUCAAACCACAUGUUUGUUUCUUCAUCAUUUCUUUGCCAAUUUUUCACAUAGGAGUAUUCAUUUCUGGUGCCCCCAUCCCAAACAAAAACGAAAACAAAAACACGAAGAACACAACUGUUCCGGAAACUG
Rhinolophus ferrumequinum (greater horseshoe bat) is the source of this 450-nucleotide long non-coding RNA. RefSeq lists it as uncharacterized. The record is from RefSeq and is a predicted model, not a curated record. The transcript has 4 exons. NCBI's taxonomy places the organism in Eukaryota, Metazoa, Chordata, Mammalia, Chiroptera, Rhinolophidae.